UACGAAGGGGGCUAGCGUUGUUCGGAAUUACUGGGCGUAAAGCGCACGUAGGCGGAUUUGUAAGUCAGGGGUGAAAUCCCGAGGCUCAACCUCGGAACUGCCUUUGAUACUGCAAAUCUCGAGUCCGGAAGAGGUGAGUGGAAUUCCUAGUGUAGAGGUGAAAUUCGUAGAUAUUAGGAAGAACACCAGUGGCGAAGGCGGCUCACUGGUCCGGUACUGACGCUGAGGUGCGAAAGCGUGGGGAGCAAACAGG
This 253-nucleotide ribosomal RNA is filed under the name uncultured bacterium. RNAcentral describes it as "partial 16S ribosomal RNA". It matches the Rfam family "Bacterial small subunit ribosomal RNA", at positions 524 to 776 of the family's 1533-position model. The record is from RNAcentral.